This 465-nucleotide ribosomal RNA is filed under the name uncultured bacterium. Its description in RNAcentral is "partial 16S ribosomal RNA". It matches the Rfam family "Bacterial small subunit ribosomal RNA", at positions 28 to 507 of the family's 1533-position model. The record is from RNAcentral.
GACGAACGCUGGCGGCGUGCUUAACACAUGCAAGUCGAACGGAAAGGCCCUGCUUGCAGGGUACUCGAGUGGCGAACGGGUGAGUAACACGUGGGUGAUCUGCCCUGCACUUCGGGAUAAGCCUGGGAAACUGGGUCUAAUACCGGAUAGGAGCCAUUUUUAGUGUGAUGGUUGGAAAGUUUUUUCGGUGUAGGAUGAGCUCGCGGCCUAUCAGCUUGUUGGUGGGGUAAUGGCCUACCAAGGCGGCGACGGGUAGCCGGCCUGAGAGGGUGGACGGCCACAUCGGGACUGAGAUACGGCCCAGACUCCUACGGGAGGCAGCAGUGGGGAAUAUUGCACAAUGGGCGCAAGCCUGAUGCAGCGACGCCGCGUGGGGGAUGACGGCCUUCGGGUUGUAAACUCCUUUCGCUAGGGACGAAGCUUUUUGUGACGGUACCUAGAUAAGAAGCACCGGCUAACUACGUG